CUCCGUCUGGGCGAUCUCUAUUGGCCGCCUCUUCGACCUACUGCCGUAGUGCACCCAUCUCCGUCACCCUGAUCGUCGCUCCUACCGGCGUCAAUGAUGCAGCAGUGCUAUGUACAUUUAUACAUGGAGUAGAUAUGCAUUCAGGAGGUCAAGAAGCCGACACCUCAGCAGUAUUCAUUCCAAACAGCAAGGGAGAUAAAGAAAAGACGCUCAAGUCAACCUCUAGAGACGGGAUGAUAAUGAAGAGAUCCUUGGUACGCACACUUUGGACGCUCUUAAAUUCAUGUAUGGCAGAUUUAUCCCAACUGUUUCUUUUGCAUGACACAUUUAAUGCCAAUUCAGUUUGAUCAAAUCAUCGAAAGCACAGCAGGAAAGUCAAUUUUAAUUCCGGUGAUCUUUUUACUAAAGGUAUACUAGGCUGAAUUUGGUGCAGCAGUUCAUUAUUCAUAGCCGCUGUUAUUUAUUUUGUAUUUUCAGGUGAGGUAAAUUAAUCAAUUGAUGGACAAAUAUGAUGUUUGUCUACACAGAUGGUGCCACUUGAAAUUAUUAUAUGUUAGUAUGAAAUGAUAUUCUUUUUAUGUAAAAUCACACGCUAGAUUAUGCAUCAAUUCAAGCAUAACUGAAAUUCUUUGUUAGUACAGAAAAUUAUUUUGGC
Molecule: long non-coding RNA, 655 nt
Organism: Triticum aestivum (bread wheat)
Lineage: Eukaryota; Viridiplantae; Streptophyta; Magnoliopsida; Poales; Poaceae
Exons: 3
Source: RefSeq, a predicted model, not a curated record